AACGAACGCUGGCGGCAUGUCUAACACAUGCAAGUCGAACGAGACCUUCGGGUCUAGUGGCGCACGGGUGCGUAACGCGUGGGAACCUGCCCUUAGGUUCGGAAUAACUCCCCGAAAGGGGUUCUAAUACCGGUUAAUGUCUUCGGACCAAAGAUUUAUCGCCUUUGGAUGGGCCCGCGUUGGCUUAGCUAGUUGGUAGGGUAAAAGCCUACCAAGGCGACGAUCCAUAGCUGGUCUGAGAGGAUGAUCAGCCACACUGGGACUGAGACACGGCCCAGACUCCUACGGGAGGCAGCAGUGGGGAAUAUUGGACAAUGGGCGAAAGCCUGAUCCAGCAAGGCCGCGUGAGUGAUGAAGGCCUUAGGGUUGUAAAGCUCUUUUACCCGGGAUGAUAAUGACAGUACCGGGAGAAUAAGCUCCGGCUAACCCCGUG
This 433-nucleotide ribosomal RNA is filed under the name uncultured bacterium. RNAcentral describes it as "partial 16S ribosomal RNA". It matches the Rfam family "Bacterial small subunit ribosomal RNA", at positions 29 to 507 of the family's 1533-position model. The record is from RNAcentral.